Molecule: ribosomal RNA, 425 nt
Filed under: uncultured Saprospiraceae bacterium
Lineage: Bacteria; Pseudomonadati; Bacteroidota; Saprospiria; Saprospirales; Saprospiraceae
Description: bacterial SSU rRNA
Rfam family: Bacterial small subunit ribosomal RNA
Source: RNAcentral
UAAGGAAUAUUGGACAAUGGGCGAAAGCCUGAUCCAGCCAUGCCGCGUGAAGGACGAAGGCGCUCAGCGUUGUAAACUUCUUUUGGAUGGGAACAAUAACCGAGACUUGUCUUGGCUUGAGGGUACCAUCAGAAUAAGCACCGGCUAACUCCGUGCCAGCAGCCGCGGUAAUACGGAGGGUGCAAGCGUUAUCCGGAAUCACUGGGUUUAAAGGGUGCGUAGGCGGUCUAAUAAGUCAGUCGUGAAAUCGCUGGGCUCAACCCAUGCAAUUGCGAUUGAUACUGCUAGACUUGAAUGGGGUUGAGGCUGGCGGAAUGCGACAUGUAGCGGUGAAAUGCUUAGAUAUGUCGCAGAACACCGAUUGCGAAGGCAGCCAGCUGGGCCUUUAUUGACGCUGAGGCACGAAAGCGUGGGGAGCAAACAGG